GACGAACGCUGGCGGCGCGCCUAACACAUGCAAGUCGAACGGAGUCAAGAGGAGCUUGCUUUUCUUGACUUAGUGGCGAACGGGUGAGUAACGCGUGAGUAACCUGCCCUGGAGUGGGGGACAACAGUUGGAAACGACUGCUAAUACCGCAUAAGCCCACGGAUCUGCAUGGAUCUGCGGGAAAAGGAUUUAUUCGCUCUAGGAUGGACUCGCGUCCAAUUAGCUAGUUGGUGAGGUAACGGCCCACCAAGGCGACGAUUGGUAGCCGGACUGAGAGGUUGAACGGCCACAUUGGGACUGAGACACGGCCCAGACUACUACGGGAGGCAGCAGUGGGGGAUAUUGCACAAUGGGGGAAACCCUGAUGCAGCGACGCCGCGUGGAGGAAGAAGGUUUUCGGAUUGUAAACUCCUGUCGUUAGGGACGAUAAUGACGGUACCUAACAAGAAAGCACCGGCUAACUACGU
RNAcentral lists this ribosomal RNA (467 nucleotides) under uncultured bacterium. RNAcentral describes it as "partial 16S ribosomal RNA". It matches the Rfam family "Bacterial small subunit ribosomal RNA", at positions 28 to 506 of the family's 1533-position model. The record is from RNAcentral.